CCUACGGGUGGCAGCAGUGGGGAAUAUUGCACAAUGGGGGCAACCCUGAUGCAGCAACGCCGCGUGAGUGAAGAAGUCCUUCGGUAUGUAAAGCUCUAUCAGCAGGGAAGAAAAUGACGGUACCUGCGUAAGAAUCCCCGGCUAACUCCGUUCCAGCAGCCGCGGUAAUACGUAGGGGGCAAGCGUUAUCCGGAUUUACUGGGGGGAAAGGGAGCGGAGACGGCAGUGCAAGUCAGCAGUGAAGGACAGGGGCUCAACCCCCGGACUGCUCUGGAAACUGUAAGGCUGGAGUGUUGGAGAGGUCAGUGGAAUUCCUAGUGUAGCGGUGAAAUGCGUAGAUAUUAGGAGGAACACCAGUGGCGAAGGCGGCUUACUGGACUGUAACUGACGGUGAGGCUCGAAAGCGUGGGGAGCAAACAGGAUUAGAUACCCUGGUAGUC
Molecule: ribosomal RNA, 440 nt
Filed under: uncultured bacterium
Lineage: Bacteria
Description: partial 16S ribosomal RNA
Rfam family: Bacterial small subunit ribosomal RNA
Source: RNAcentral